AGAGUUUGAUCCUGGCUCAGGACGAACGCUGGCGGCGUGCUUAACACAUGCAAGUCGAACGAGGCCCUCUCUUCGGAGGGGUGACCUAGUGGCGAACGGGUGAGUAACACGUGGGCAACCUGCCCUCAGCUCUGGGAUAACUCCAAGAAAUUGGGGCUAAUACCGGAUAUGACUGCUGACCGCAUGGUCUGGUGGUGGAAAGAUUUAUCGGCUGGGGAUGGGCCCGCGGCCUAUCAGCUUGUUGGUGGGGUAGUGGCCUACCAAGGCGACGACGGGUAGCCGGCCUGAGAGGGUGACCGGCCACACUGGGACUGAGACACGGCCCAGACUCCUACGGGAGGCAGCAGUGGGGAAUAUUGCGCAAUGGGCGGAAGCCUGACGCAGCGACGCCGCGUGGGGGAUGACGGCCUUCGGGUUGUAAACCUCUUUCAGUAGGGACGAAGCGAGAGUGACGGUACCUACAGAAGAAGCACCGGCCAACUACGUGCCAGCCGCCGCGGUAAUAC
This 506-nucleotide ribosomal RNA is filed under the name uncultured bacterium. RNAcentral's name for it is "bacterial SSU rRNA". It matches the Rfam family "Bacterial small subunit ribosomal RNA", at positions 8 to 526 of the family's 1533-position model. The record is from RNAcentral.